This is a long non-coding RNA of Sinocyclocheilus grahami, 503 nucleotides long. RefSeq lists it as uncharacterized. The record is from RefSeq and is a predicted model, not a curated record. Lineage: Eukaryota; Metazoa; Chordata; Actinopteri; Cypriniformes; Cyprinidae. The transcript has 3 exons.
UGAUUAUCAAUAUUUCAGUGCUACAUUGAUAAUAAUAGAUUUAAGCAGAAUGUAAAACUACUUGAUGAAAUUUGGACUUUAUCUCAUCCCUCAUCAUUCGAUUGAUGAAAGGAGGCAAAUUUUUAAGGAAGAUCUUUUUUUUUUUCCAGAACUGUGUUUUAUGAAAACGGAUACACGGUCUAAACAGCAGCUCUGAUUCACUUGAAGGGAAAAGACUGAUGGCCCAAUCGAGUCACAUGACUUAGGAGAAGAUGGGGAAAAGAGAGAUGAUGUCCAAACUAAAACUUCUUGAUGAAUGUUGGACUUUAUCUCAUCUCUCGUCCAUAUGUUGAUGAAGGCGUAAAAUUUUCCAUCUCCAGCAGUGUUGUAACACUUCCUGGUUUGUGAACCCAUACUCGGCCUAAACAGCAACUCUAAUUCACUUUGAGGGAAAACUGAUUUAAGGAACUGAAGCUAUCAAGACUUUCCCUGACUGAAACAUAAACAAAUGGGUUCCAGUGCAU